UACGUAGGCAGCAAGCGUUGUCCGGAAUUAUUGGGCGUAAAGAGCUCGUAGGUGGUUUGUCGCGUCUGCCGUGAAAACCCGAGGCUUAACCUCGUGGCUUGCGGUGGAUACGGGCAGACUAGAGGUAGGUAGGGGAGAACGGAAUUCCCGGUGUAGAGGUGAAAUUCGUAGAUAUCGGGAGGAACACCAGUGGCGAAGGCGGCGACCUGGGCCAAUACUGACGCUGAGGUGCGAAAGCGUGGGGAGCAAACAGG
RNAcentral lists this ribosomal RNA (254 nucleotides) under uncultured bacterium. Its description in RNAcentral is "partial 16S ribosomal RNA". It matches the Rfam family "Bacterial small subunit ribosomal RNA", at positions 524 to 776 of the family's 1533-position model. The record is from RNAcentral.